This 3090-nucleotide ribosomal RNA is filed under the name Mycolicibacterium aubagnense. Its description in RNAcentral is "23S ribosomal RNA". It matches the Rfam family "Bacterial large subunit ribosomal RNA". Lineage: Bacteria; Bacillati; Actinomycetota; Actinomycetes; Mycobacteriales; Mycobacteriaceae. The record is from RNAcentral.
AAGUGUUUAAGGGCGCAUGGUGGAUGCCUUGGCAUCAGAGGCCGAUGAAGGACGUAGGAGGCUGCGAUAAGCCUCGGGGAGCUGCCAACCGAGCGUUGAUCCGAGGAUGUCCGAAUGGGGAAACCCAGCACGAGUGAUGUCGUGUUACCCACGCCUGAAUAUAUAGGGUGUGGGAGGUAACGCGGGGAAGUGAAACAUCUCAGUACCCGUAGGAAGAGAAAACAAUUGUGAUUCCGUGAGUAGUGGCGAGCGAAAGCGGAUGAGGCUAAACCGUAUGCAUGUGAUACCGGGUAGGGGUUGUGUGUGGGGUUGUGGGACCUAUCUUUCCAGUUCUAUCCGGCUGGAGGGCAGUAAGAAAAUGUCGUGGUUAACGGAAGUGGCUUGGGAUGGCCUGCCGUAGAGGGUGAGAGUCCCGUACGUGAAAACCCGAUGUCUGCCUUGAUGGUGUUCCCGAGUAGCAGCGGGCCCGUGAAAUCUGCUGUGAAUCUGCCGAGACCACUCGGUAAGCCUAAAUACCUUCUGAUGACCGAUAGCGGAUUAGUACCGUGAGGGAAUGGUGAAAAGUACCCCGGGAGGGGAGUGAAAUAGUACCUGAAACCGUGUGCCUACAAUCCGUCAGAGCCCUCGUUUACGUGGGGUGAUGGCGUGCCUUUUGAAGAAUGAGCCUGCGAGUCAGGGACAUGUCGCGAGGUUAACCCGUGGGGGGUAGCCGUAGCGAAAGCGAGUCUGAAUAGGGCGUAUCCCAUUAUGGGUGUAGUGGCAUGUUCUGGACCCGAAGCGGAGUGAUCUACCCAUGGCCAGGGUGAAGCGCGGGUAAGACCGCGUGGAGGCCCGAACCCACUUAGGUUGAAGACUGAGGGAUGAGCUGUGGGUAGGGUGAAAGGCCAAUCAAACUCCGUGAUAGCUGGUUCUCCCGAAAUGCAUUUAGGUGCAGCGUUGCGUGUUUCUUGCCGGAGGUAGAGCUACUGGAUGGCCGAUGGGCCUCACCAGGUUACUGACGUCAGCCAAACUCCGAAUGCCGGUAAGACAAAAGCGUGGCAGUGAGACGGCGGGGGAUAAGCUCCGUGCGUCGAGAGGAAACAGCCCAGAUCGCCGACUAAGGCCCCUAAGCGUGCUAAGUGGAAAAGGAUGUGCAGUCGCGAAGACAACCAGGAGGUUGGCUUAGAAGCAGCCACCCUUGAAAGAGUGCGUAAUAGCUCACUGGUCAAGUGAUUGUGCGCCGAUAAUGUAGCGGGGCUCAAGCACACCGCCGAAGUCGCGGCAUCCGCAAGGAUGGGUAGGGGAGCGUCCUGCAUCCGGUGAAGCAGCCGAGUGAUCGAGUUGUGGAGGGUGUGGGAGUGAGAAUGCAGGCAUGAGUAGCGAAUAGGCAAGUGAGAACCUUGCCCGCCGAAAGACCAAGGGUUCCUGGGGCAGGCCAGUCCGCCCAGGGUGAGUCGGGACCUAAGGCGAGGCCGACAGGCGUAGUCGAUGGACAACGGGUUGAUAUUCCCGUACCCGUGUGUGUGCGUCCGUGAUGAAUCCAUUGUGCUAACCAUCCAAAUGGCACGUGAUGAUCCUUUCGGGGAUCACGUGUUGCCGGCUGCGUGGGACCCUGGUGGGUAGUAGUCAAGCGAUGGGGUGACGCAGGAAGGUAGCCGUACCGGUCAGUGGUAAUACCGGGGUAAGCCUGUAGGGAGUCAGAUAGGCAAAUCCGUCUGACAUAUAUCCUGAGAGGUGAUGCAUAGCCGAGUGAGGCGAAUUCGGUGAUCCUAUGCUGCCAAGAAAAGCCUCUAGCGAGUGCACACAUGGCCCGUACCCCAAACCAACACAGGUGGUCAGGUAGAGAAUACUAAGGCGUACGAGUUAACUAUGGUUAAGGAACUCGGCAAAAUGCCCCCGUAACUUCGGGAGAAGGGGGACCCACAUGGUGUGUAAGCCCUCGCGGCCCAAGCAUGAGUGGGUGGCACAAACCAGUGAGAAGCGACUGUUUACUAAAAGACACAGGUCCGUGCGAAGUCGCAAGACGAUGUAUACGGACUGACGCCUGCCCGGUGCUGGAAGGUUAAGAGGACCUGUUAACUCCUUCGGGGGUGAAGCGGAGAAUUUAAGCCCCAGUAAACGGCGGUGGUAACUAUAACCAUCCUAAGGUAGCGAAAUUCCUUGUCGGGUAAGUUCCGACCUGCACGAAUGGCGUAACGACUUCUCAACUGUCUCAACCAUAGACUCGGCGAAAUUGCACUACGAGUAAAGAUGCUCGUUACGCGCGGCAGGACGAAAAGACCCCGGGACCUUCACUACAACUUGGUAUUGGAGUUCGGUACGGUUUGUGUAGGAUAGGUGGGAGACUGUGAAGCGCACACGCCAGUGUGUGUGGAGUCGUUGUUGAAAUACCACUCUGAUCGUAUUGGGCUUCUAACCUCGGACCAUAUAUCUGGUCCAGGGACAGUGCCUGGUGGGUAGUUUAACUGGGGCGGUUGCCUCCUAAAAUGUAACGGAGGCGCCCAAAGGUUCCCUCAACCUGGACGGCAAUCAGGUGUUGAGUGUAAGUGCACAAGGGAGCUUGACUGCGAGACCUACAAGUCGAGCAGGGACGAAAGUCGGGACUAGUGAUCCGGCACCCCCGAGUGGAAGGGUGUCGCUCAACGGAUAAAAGGUACCCCGGGGAUAACAGGCUGAUCUUCCCCAAGAGUCCAUAUCGACGGGAUGGUUUGGCACCUCGAUGUCGGCUCGUCGCAUCCUGGGGCUGGAGCAGGUCCCAAGGGUUGGGCUGUUCGCCCAUUAAAGCGGCACGCGAGCUGGGUUUAGAACGUCGUGAGACAGUUCGGUCUCUAUCCGCCGCGCGCGUCAGAAACUUGAGGAAACCUGUCCCUAGUACGAGAGGACCGGGACGGACGAACCUCUGGUCUACCAGUUGUCCCACCAGGGCACGGCUGGAUAGCUACGUUCGGACAGGAUAACCGCUGAAAGCAUCUAAGCGGGAAACCUCUUCCAAGACCAGGUUUCUCACCCUUUUAGAGGGAUAAGGCCCCCCGCAGACCACGGGAUCGAUAGACCAGACCUGCACACCCAGCAAUGGGUUUAGGGAACUGGCACUAACCGGCCGAAAACUUA